Molecule: small RNA, 566 nt
Filed under: Pongo abelii (Sumatran orangutan)
Lineage: Eukaryota; Metazoa; Chordata; Mammalia; Primates; Hominidae
Description: retained intron
Source: RNAcentral
CCUUCUUGGAUUUUCAAACAGGCAAUCAUAAAUGCAAAUAGUGAUCAUUUAUCAUCUUUGCAAUACUUACUCCUCUUUUUCCCUGUCUUAUUGCAUUGGCUUAAAGAUCAGUAACUUGAUUGCUUCAGAAAUCAUCCGCAAUGAGGACAUCAACGCCAGGGUGAGCACCAUUGAGAAGUGGGUGGCCGUGGCUGACAUAUGCCGCUGCCUCCACAACUACAAUGCCGUGCUGGAGAUCACCUCGUCCAUGAACCGCAGUGCAAUCUUCCGGCUCAAAAAGACGUGGCUCAAAGUCUCUAAGCAGACUAAAGCUUUGAUUGAUAAGCUCCAAAAGCUUGUGUCAUCUGAGGGCAGAUUUAAGAAUCUCAGAGAAGCUCUGAAAAAGUAAGUGUGUGUUGUUUUAUUUUUAAAAUCAUAGACCUGCAUCGCAGAGGCAUUCACGCACCACCCCCAGCCAGAGCAGGAGGUCUGUCUGUCUGUUCAUCUGUCUACCCACAAGACCCCUAGAUUUCCUGGACCCCAGUGGUGGAGUCCUCCGUAGUCUGCCAGAGAAACUCCAAAGUUUG